AACCUUGCGAAAGUAAGACUAAUACCCAAUGAUAUCUCUAGAAGACAUCUGAAAGAGAUUAAAGAUUUAUCGGUGAUGGAUGGGGAUGCGUCUGAUUAGCUUGUUGGCGGGGUAACGGCCCACCAAGGCGACGAUCAGUAGGGGUUCUGAGAGGAAGGUCCCCCACAUUGGAACUGAGACACGGUCCAAACUCCUACGGGAGGCAGCAGUGAGGAAUAUUGGUCAAUGGRCGAGAGCCUGAACCAGCCAAGUAGCGUGCAGGAUGACGGCCCUAUGGGUUGUAAACUGCUUUUAUAAGGGAAUAAAGUGAGCCUCGUGAGGCUUUUUGCAUGUACCUUAUGAAUAAGGACCGGCUAAUUCCGUGCCAGCAGCCGCGGUAAUACGGAAGGUCCGGGCGUUAUCCGGAUUUAUUGGGUUUAAAGGGAGCGUAGGCCGGAGAUUAAGCGUGUUGUGAAAUGUAGACGCUCAACGUCUGCACUGCAGCGCGAACUGGUUUCCUUGAGUACGCACAAAGUGGGCGGAAUUCGUGGUGUAGCGGUGAAAUGCUUAGAUAUCACGAAGAACUCCGAUUGCGAAGGCAGCUCACUGGAGCGCAACUGACGCUGAAGCUCGAAAGUGCGGGUAUCGAACAGGAUUAGAUACCCUGGUAGUCCGCACGGUAAACGAUGGAUGCCCGCUGUUGGUCUGAACAGGUCAGCGGCCAAGCGAAAGCAUUAAGCAUCCCACCUGGGGAGUACGCCGGCAACGGUGAAACUCAAAGGAAUUGACGGGGGCCCGCACAAGCGGAGGAACAUGUGGUUUAAUUCGAUGAUACGCGAGGAAACCUUACCCGGGCUUGAAUUGCAGAGGAAGGAUUUGGAGACAAUGACGCCCUUCGGGGYCUCUGUGAAGGUGCUGCAUGGUUGUCGUCAGCUCGUGCCGUGAGGUGUCGGCUUAAGUGCCAUAACGAGCGCAACCCCUCUCCUUAGUUGCCAUCAGGUYAAGCUGGGCACUCUGGGGACACUGCCACCGUAAGGUGUGAGGAAGGUGGGGAUGACGUCAAAUCAGCACGGCCCUUACGUCCGGGGCUACACACGUGUUACAAUGGCAGGUACAGAGAGACGGUYSCYYGYAAAGUSGAUCAAAUCCUUAAAGCCUGUCUCAGUUCGGACUGGGGUCUGCAACCCGACCCCACGAAGCUGGAUUCGCUA
This 1190-nucleotide ribosomal RNA is filed under the name Segatella copri. RNAcentral describes it as "bacterial SSU rRNA". Lineage: Bacteria; Pseudomonadati; Bacteroidota; Bacteroidia; Bacteroidales; Prevotellaceae. The record is from RNAcentral.